Molecule: ribosomal RNA, 301 nt
Filed under: uncultured bacterium
Lineage: Bacteria
Description: partial 16S ribosomal RNA
Rfam family: Bacterial small subunit ribosomal RNA
Source: RNAcentral
CAGUCGCCGCGGUAAUGCGGAGGGGGCUAGCGUUGUUCGGAAUUACUGGGCGUAAAGCGCACGUAGGCGGCUUGGUAAGUUAGAGGUGAAAGCCUGGAGCUCAACUCCAGAAUUGCCUUUAAGACUGCCGAGCUAGCAGGUGAGAGAGGUAAGUGGAAUUCCGAGUGUAGAGGUGAAAUUCGUAGAUAUUCGGAAGAACACCAGUGGCGAAGGCGGCUUACUGGCUCAUACUGGACGCUGAGGUGCGAAAGCGUGGGGAGCAAACAGGAUUAGAUACCCCCGUAGUCCCUGUCUCUUAUAC